This is a non-coding RNA of Salmo salar (Atlantic salmon), 88 nucleotides long. NCBI's taxonomy places the organism in Eukaryota, Metazoa, Chordata, Actinopteri, Salmoniformes, Salmonidae. The record is from Rfam.
CCCUGUGGCUCAGUUGGUAGAGCAUGGUGUUUGCAACGCCAGCAUGGUGUGUGCAACGCCAGGGUUGUGGGUUCGAUUCCCACCGGGG